UGGGAUGUAGCUCAUAUGGUAGAGCGCUCGCUUCGCAUGCGAGAGGUACGCGUAUCGAUAACCCGUAUCUCCA
RNAcentral lists this transfer RNA (73 nucleotides) under Ipomoea nil (Japanese morning glory). It matches the Rfam family "tRNA". From Rfam's summary of the family: Transfer RNA (tRNA) molecules are approximately 80 nucleotides in length. Their secondary structure includes four short double-helical elements and three loops (D, anti-codon, and T loops). Further hydrogen bonds mediate the characteristic L-shaped molecular structure. tRNAs have two regions of fundamental functional importance: the anti-codon, which is responsible for specific mRNA codon recognition, and the 3' end, to which the tRNAs corresponding amino acid is attached (by aminoacyl-tRNA synthetases). tRNAs cope with the degeneracy of the genetic code in two manners: having more than one tRNA (with a specific anti-codon) for a particular amino acid; and 'wobble' base-pairing, i.e. permitting non-standard base-pairing at the 3rd anti-codon position. The record is from Rfam by way of RNAcentral. Lineage: Eukaryota; Viridiplantae; Streptophyta; Magnoliopsida; Solanales; Convolvulaceae.